CGCUGGCGGCAUGCCUAACACAUGCAAGUCGAACGAAGCCUUCGGGGCUUAGUGGCGCACGGGUGCGUAACACGUGGGAAUCUGCCCUUCGGUUCGGAAUAACAGUUAGAAAUGACUGCUAAUACCGGAUGAUGACGUAAGUCCAAAGAUUUAUCGCCGAAGGAUGAGCCCGCGUAGGAUUAGGUAGUUGGUAGGGUAAUGGCCUACCAAGCCGACGAUCCUUAGCUGGUCUGAGAGGAUGAUCAGCCACACUGGGACUGAGACACGGCCCAGACUCCUACGGGAGGCAGCAGUGGGGAAUAUUGGACAAUGGGCGAAAGCCUGAUCCAGCAAUGCCGCGUGAGUGAUGAAGGCCUUAGGGUUGUAAAGCUCUUUACCAGGGAUGAUAAUGACAGUACCUGGAGAAUAAGCUCCGGCUAACUCCGUG
This 427-nucleotide ribosomal RNA is filed under the name uncultured bacterium. Its description in RNAcentral is "bacterial SSU rRNA". It matches the Rfam family "Bacterial small subunit ribosomal RNA", at positions 34 to 507 of the family's 1533-position model. The record is from RNAcentral.